Molecule: ribosomal RNA, 979 nt
Filed under: Lactiplantibacillus plantarum
Lineage: Bacteria; Bacillati; Bacillota; Bacilli; Lactobacillales; Lactobacillaceae
Description: bacterial SSU rRNA
Rfam family: Bacterial small subunit ribosomal RNA
Source: RNAcentral
GGGGAUAACACCUGGAAACAGAUGCUAAUACCGCAUAACAACUUGGACCGCAGGUCCGAGUUUGAAAGAUGGCUUCGGCUAUCACUUUUGGAUGGUCCCGCGGCGUAUUAGCUAGAUGGUGGGGUAACGGCUCACCAUGGCAAUGAUACGUAGCCGACCUGAGAGGGUAAUCGGCCACAUUGGGACUGAGACACGGCCCAAACUCCUACGGGAGGCAGCAGUAGGGAAUCUUCCACAAUGGACGAAAGUCUGAUGGAGCAACGCCGCGUGAGUGAAGAAGGGUUUCGGCUCGUAAAACUCUGUUGUUAAAGAAGAACAUAUCUGAGAGUAACUGUUCAGGUAUUGACGGUAUUUAACCAGAAAGCCACGGCUAACUACGUGCCAGCAGCCGCGGUAAUACGUAGGUGGCAAGCGUUGUCCGGAUUUAUUGGGCGUAAAGCGAGCGCAGGCGGUUUUUUAAGUCUGAUGUGAAAGCCUUCGGCUCAACCGAAGAAGUGCAUCGGAAACUGGGAAACUUGAGUGCAGAAGAGGACAGUGGAACUCCAUGUGUAGCGGUGAAAUGCGUAGAUAUAUGGAAGAACACCAGUGGCGAAGGCGGCUGUCUGGUCUGUAACUGACGCUGAGGCUCGAAAGUAUGGGUAGCAAACAGGAUUAGAUACCCUGGUAGUCCAUACCGUAAACGAUGAAUGCUAAGUGUUGGAGGGUUUCCGCCCUUCAGUGCUGCAGCUAACGCAUUAAGCAUUCCGCCUGGGGAGUACGGCCGCAAGGCUGAAACUCAAAGGAAUUGACGGGGGCCCGCACAAGCGGUGGAGCAUGUGGUUUAAUUCGAAGCUACGCGAAGAACCUUACCAGGUCUUGACAUACUAUGCAAAUCUAAGAGAUUAGACGUUCCCUUCGGGGACAUGGAUACAGGUGGUGCAUGGUUGUCGUCAGCUCGUGUCGUGAGAUGUUGGGUUAAGUCCCGCAACGAGCGCAACCC